GCAGUCUGGUGCCAGCAGCCGCGGUAACUCCAGCUCCAAUAGCAUAUAUUAAAAUUGCUGCAGUUAAAAAGCUCGUAGUUGGAUCUGGGUUCUGGUUUGGAGACUGCUUGUUCUUAGUGAAUUGAUUUCAUGAAGCUUUGGACAGCGGUAUAUCUAGGCCGAAUCUUCCAGCUGUGUCUGCAUAGGGCUUCGGCUUUGUGUAGAUAGUUUCGUUGUGUGUUAGUUCCCUCACGGGUCUACUCCUUCGAUUCUAUACGCUGUAAUGCCUUUAAUCGGGUGUUCAGUGUGGACAGCACGUUUACUUUGAACAAAUUUGAGUGCUCAAAGCAGGCCUUG
RNAcentral lists this ribosomal RNA (336 nucleotides) under Gyrodactylus gracilihamatus. Its description in RNAcentral is "SSU rRNA". It matches the Rfam family "Eukaryotic small subunit ribosomal RNA", at positions 556 to 789 of the family's 1831-position model. Lineage: Eukaryota; Metazoa; Platyhelminthes; Monogenea; Gyrodactylidea; Gyrodactylidae. The record is from RNAcentral.